GACGAACGCUGGCGGCGUGCUUAACACAUGCAAGUCGAACGGAAAGGCCCUGCUUUUGUGGGGUGCUCGAGUGGCGAACGGGUGAGUAACACGUGAGUAACCUGCCCUUGACUUUGGGAUAACUUCAGGAAACUGGGGCUAAUACCGGAUAGGAGCUCCUGCUGCAUGGUGGGGGUUGGAAAGUUUCGGCGGUUGGGGAUGGACUCGCGGCUUAUCAGCUUGUUGGUGGGGUAGUGGCUUACCAAGGCUUUGACGGGUAGCCGGCCUGAGAGGGUGACCGGCCACAUUGGGACUGAGAGACGGCCCAGACUCCUACGGGAGGCAGCAGGGGGGAAUAUUGCACAAUGGGCGGAAGCCUGAUGCAGCAACGCCGCGUGCGGGAUGACGGCUUUCGGGUUGUAAACCGCUUUCGACUGUGACGAAGCGUGAGUGACGGUAAUGGGUAAAGAAGCACCGGCUAACUACGUG
RNAcentral lists this ribosomal RNA (468 nucleotides) under uncultured bacterium. Its description in RNAcentral is "partial 16S ribosomal RNA". It matches the Rfam family "Bacterial small subunit ribosomal RNA", at positions 28 to 507 of the family's 1533-position model. The record is from RNAcentral.